Molecule: ribosomal RNA, 403 nt
Filed under: uncultured bacterium
Lineage: Bacteria
Description: partial 16S ribosomal RNA
Rfam family: Bacterial small subunit ribosomal RNA
Source: RNAcentral
GACGAACGCUGGCGGCGUGCCUAAUACAUGCAAGUCGAACGCAGUGGGGACGGGUGAGUAACACGUGGGUAACCUCCCAUCAGAGGGGAUAACACUUGGAAACAGGUGCUAAACCGAUACUGAUGGAUGAACCCGCGGUGCAUUAGCUAGUUGGUGAGGUAACGGCUCACCAAGGCCACGAUGCAUAGCCGCACUGAGUGGGUGAUCGGCAAAAUGGGGACUGAGACACGGCCCAGAAUACUACGGGAGGCAGCAGUAGGUAAGCGUCGGAAAUGGACGAAAGUCUGACCGAGCAACGCCGCGUGAGUGAAGAAGGUUUUCGGAUCGUAAAACUCUGUUGUUAGAGAAGCGGUAUCUAACCAGAAAGCCACGGCUAACUACGGGCCAGCAGCCGCGGUAAUAC